This 102-nucleotide microRNA precursor is filed under the name Marmota monax (woodchuck). The record is from RNAcentral. Lineage: Eukaryota; Metazoa; Chordata; Mammalia; Rodentia; Sciuridae.
AGUGAGAUAACUGGGGCAAAUGAUAGUCCAUUCAAAGUUUUAUGAGGAAUUGCCAUACUGCUUUCCAGAGUGGUUGUACCAAUUUGCAGUCCCACCAGCAAU